This 658-nucleotide ribosomal RNA is filed under the name human oral bacterium AC55. RNAcentral's name for it is "bacterial SSU rRNA". It matches the Rfam family "Bacterial small subunit ribosomal RNA", at positions 399 to 1047 of the family's 1533-position model. The record is from RNAcentral.
GCGUGUAUGAAGGAAGGCUUCGGGUUGUAAAGUAACUUUUGUUAGGGAAGAAAAGGGAAGUGCUAAUACCACUUUUUGCUGACGGUAACCUAAAGAAUAAGCACCGGCUAACUACGUGCCAGCAGCCGCGGUAAUACGUAGGGUGCGAGCGUUAAUCGGAAUUACUGGGCGUAAAGCGAGCGCAGACGGUUAUUUAAGCAGGAUGUGAAAUCCCCGGGCUCAACCUGGGAACUGCGUUCUGAACUGGAUAGCUAGAGUGUGUCAGAGGGGGGUAGAAUUCCACGUGUAGCAGUGAAAUGCGUAGAGAUGUGGAGGAAUACCGAUGGCGAAGGCAGCCCCCUGGGAUAACACUGACGUUCAUGCUCGAAAGCGUGGGUAGCAAACAGGAUUAGAUACCCUGGUAGUCCACGCCCUAAACGAUGUCGAUUAGCUGUUGGGCAACUUGAUUGCUUAGUAGCGUAGCUAACGCGUGAAAUCGACCGCCUGGGGAGUACGGUCGCAAGAUUAAAACUCAAAGGAAUUGACGGGGACCCGCACAAGCGGUGGAUGAUGUGGAUUAAUUCGAUGCAACGCGAAGAACCUUACCUGGUCUUGACAUGUACGGAACCUUCCAGAGACGGAAGGGUGCCUUCGGGAGCCGUAACACAGGUGCUGCAUG